Molecule: ribosomal RNA, 91 nt
Filed under: Astragalus caprinus subsp. caprinus
Lineage: Eukaryota; Viridiplantae; Streptophyta; Magnoliopsida; Fabales; Fabaceae
Description: partial 26S ribosomal RNA
Rfam family: Eukaryotic large subunit ribosomal RNA
Source: RNAcentral
CGAGACCUCAGGUUCAGGCGGGGCUACCCGCUGAAUUUAAGCAUAUCAAUAAGCGGAGGAAAAGAACUAACAAGGAUUCCCUUACUAACGG